Molecule: transfer-messenger RNA, 391 nt
Filed under: Candidatus Saccharimonadota bacterium
Lineage: Bacteria; Candidatus Saccharimonadota
Rfam family: transfer-messenger RNA
About the family: Bacterial tmRNA, also known as 10Sa RNA or SsrA, is named for its dual tRNA and mRNA-like properties.
Source: RNAcentral
GGGGCUGAAUUUUAAGCUCGACAUUGGACUUUAACAGCUAGUUUGCAGAUCGCUUGUCAGCGUUAUAGGCACAUCUGAAUAGAUGCAAAAGAUUCACUAACUGCAAUGGUAGAUCGCGUGCUAAACACACGUCAGGCUGCUUUUGCGUUUGCUGCCUAAUUUACUGGUAGCUGUGCCAUUAAUUAAUACCAAAUAGGUUAAUGGUAUAUUAUAUUUUUUUGGUUGCUUAAUGUUUAUCGCCCAUAGAUGUUACUAAGACCUAGGGAUAGGCUAUGAAGCUUUUUGGUUGUUUACCGGCCGCAUAGUCAAUUUUUUUUAAACAACCUAUGUCUGUAGACGACUAGUAUAGUUGAACUGAUGGACGCGGGGGCAGCACCCGCCAGCUCCACCA